AUUAAACGCUGGCGGCAUGCCUUACACAUGCAAGUCGAACGGCAGCACGGGGGCAACCCUGGUGGCGAGUGGCGGACGGGUGAGUAAAGCAUCGGAACGUAUCCUGGAGUGGGGGGAUAACGUAGCGAAAGUUACGCUAAUACCGCAUAUUCUGUGAGCAGGAAAGCGGGGGAUCGCAAGACCUUGCGCUCUGGGAGCGGCCGAUGUCGGAUUAGCUAGUUGGUGGGGUAAAGGCCUACCAAGGCGACGAUCCGUAGCGGGUCUGAGAGGAUGAUCCGCCACACUGGGACUGAGACACGGCCCAGACUCCUACGGGAGGCAGCAGUGGGGAAUUUUGGACAAUGGGCGGAAGCCUGAUCCAGCCAUGCCGCGUGAGUGAAGAAGGCCU
RNAcentral lists this ribosomal RNA (388 nucleotides) under uncultured bacterium. RNAcentral describes it as "bacterial SSU rRNA". It matches the Rfam family "Bacterial small subunit ribosomal RNA", at positions 29 to 417 of the family's 1533-position model. The record is from RNAcentral.